GACGAACGCUGGCGGCGUGCCUAAUACAUGCAAGUCGAGCGGACAGAUAAGGAGCUUGCUCCUUUGACGUUAGCGGCGGACGGGUGAGUAACACGUGGGCAACCUGCCCCUUAGACUGGGAUAACUCCGGGAAACCGGAGCUAAUACCGGAUAAUCCCUUUCUCCACCUGGAGAGAGGGUGAAAGAUGGCUUCGGCUAUCACUAAGGGGAUGGGCCCGCGGCGCAUUAGCUAGUUGGUAAGGUAACGGCUUACCAAGGCAACGAUGCGUAGCCGACCUGAGAGGGUGAUCGGCCACACUGGGACUGAGACACGGCCCAGACUCCUACGGGAGGCUG
Molecule: ribosomal RNA, 336 nt
Filed under: uncultured Bacillota bacterium
Lineage: Bacteria; Bacillati; Bacillota
Description: bacterial SSU rRNA
Rfam family: Bacterial small subunit ribosomal RNA
Source: RNAcentral